CGGAACCGGCGAACGGGUGCGUAACACGUAUGCAACCUACCUAUAACUGGGGAAUAGCCCGAAGAAAUUCGGAUUAAUACCCUAUAAUAUUUAGUCAUCGCAUGAUGAUUAUCUUAAAACUCCGGUGGUUAUAGAUGGGCAUGCGGCCUAUUAGUUUGUUGGUGAGGUAAUGGCUCACCAAGACUACGAUAGGUAGGGGGUCUGAGAGGAUGAUCCCCCACACUGGUACUGAGACACGGACCAGACUCCUACGGGAGGCAGCAGUAGGGAAUAUUGGACAAUGGACGAAAGUCUGAUCCAGCCAUGCCGCGUGCAGGAUGACGGCCCUAUGGGUUGUAAACUGCUUUUAUAUAGGAAGAAACCUUUUUACGUGUAGAAAGCUGACGGUACUAUAUGAAUAAGGACCGGCUAACUCCGUGCCAGCAGCCGCGGUAAUACGGAGGGUCCAAGCGUUGUCCGGAUUUAUUGGGUUUAAAGGGUACGUAGGUGGAACUUUAAGUCAGUGGUGAAAGCCUCCAGCUCAACUGGAGAAUUGCCAUUGAAACUGAAGUUCUUGAAUAUGGAUGAGGUGGUUGGAAUACAACAUGUAGCGGUGAAAUGCUUAGAUAUGUUAUAGAACACCAAUUGCGAAGGCAGAUCACUAAACCAUUAUUGACACUGAGGUACGAAAGCGUGGGGAGCGAACAGGAUUAGAUAA
RNAcentral lists this ribosomal RNA (697 nucleotides) under uncultured bacterium. Its description in RNAcentral is "bacterial SSU rRNA". It matches the Rfam family "Bacterial small subunit ribosomal RNA", at positions 90 to 785 of the family's 1533-position model. The record is from RNAcentral.